This 253-nucleotide ribosomal RNA is filed under the name uncultured bacterium. RNAcentral's name for it is "partial 16S ribosomal RNA". It matches the Rfam family "Bacterial small subunit ribosomal RNA", at positions 524 to 776 of the family's 1533-position model. The record is from RNAcentral.
UACGUAGGUGGCAAGCGUUGUCCGGAUUUAUUGGGCGUAAAGCGCGCGCAGGUGGUUCCUUAAGUCUGAUGUGAAAGCCCACGGCUCAACCGUGGAGGGUCAUUGGAAACUGGGGAACUUGAGUGCAGAAGAGGAAAGUGGAAUUCCAAGUGUAGCGGUGAAAUGCGUAGAGAUUUGGAGGAACACCAGUGGCGAAGGCGACUUUCUGGUCUGUAACUGACACUGAGGCGCGAAAGCGUGGGGAGCAAACAGG